GGCGCAAAUAGAGUCGUUUCCCCAGAGUAACUGCUUCUGCCUCCUCUCCCCGCCCCCUGCAUUGACUGAACUGGGCUCUGUCAACAGAGAAGGCAGGAGACAAGAGGGUGAGUAGGGCCCUUCGGGAAACCCCGUGGAAGAGUAGGGAAGCAUAAGCCAUCUGAUAAAGACAAACUGCAGAGGUGAGAGCUAUAGCUAAGAGGAGGGCCACCUAGUUAAAGGCCGUUCUUCACCCAUGCUUGGUCUUGAUAUUUUCACAUUUCCAUUUGUAUGCUUUACUUCCUUAUCUCUUUGCUGUUUAAUACUUCUUAUUUCUAAAGACAAGGCUGGAACAAUCUUAGGGUACUUUUCACAGAGAAUAGAUCAAAUGAUGAGAAUAUCCUUAAGAACAUCCUCAGUGGCCCUGAGGUGAGUGAAGGCCCAGGAUGCAUCCUGAAUGUGGUGUGCAGCAGGGCCCCCUAGUGGCCAGAGGGACUAGUUCUCUUUAGGGAAAAUUUGACCUUGAGGAGAAAGCUUCCACAGAAGGGAGACCAGGGCAAGGCAGAACAAGAGAACAAAAUAAAGCCCCAGAAACUAUUUCUUUAGUUCCAUCUAGGAUCACUUACAUAAGGAGUUUCGAUCGAAAAAGACAAACCAUUUUCACUUCCUUCUUUUAAAAGUCAGGCACUUUGGGAAAUGACGAAAGAUGGAGGUUUCCGUGUGUAUUUGUAUCUUGUCCUUAAAGACCCAUAGCCCACCUCCACUGAUGGCUGUUGUAGGAACCACACUAGAAACGAGUGUUAUGUGUGGAAUGACUUAUAACCAAUAGUGACAGAUUAAUCCAUACAUCUGCAUGAUAUUUUAAAAGACGAUUGGGUUCAUCAAAACAAUAAAACGUCACCACCUCUUGACAUCUUUGAAUGAAUAAAGCAACUAACAAUCUCUUGGAGUUUCAAAAAGAAACUUUUUCUUAAUUUAUGGGAGUAAGCUAAUUUUGAGAUUUUUUUGGUCAUUUUUAGAAUCUAGUACCAAGAAUACAGCAAAUCUUGAAAGACUAAUGCAUUAAACUUGCAAUAACUUGCAAUAAUGACUUGUUGUCAUUUCUCAGAGGUACAAACUUAAGUAUGGGGAAGUGUUAAAGAACUUGUCCAGUCACUUCAACAUUAGUUGCUAGGUUAUAUCCUCUGGGUUACCGAUGUCAUGAUAUAAUGAUUAUUUAUUCAGUGCAUCAUUUUUCAUCCUCAUUGAAGAUGAGGGUCAGUUGGCUGGGGAGAGCACAUUUCUUGGGACAGGCAACAGAGCUGUGGACUAGUGUCAAACCACUUAUUUGACUAUGUAACUGAAUGUAAUCCAUCCUUUGAAGAAUGCAUCACCUCUCGUCCUUGCUCACUCUCAUUUGUGACCACAGACACUGUCACUAUGUUUGUGUCAACAAGGAACAGAGAGGGAGGCGAGGCUGGCUGGGAGUCCUGACGCCAGUGCCCCAGAUGCAGGAGUCAGAGCACUGCGUCACUUCGGGCAUUAGUACUUUUGUGUCCCCCUUAACUCCUCAGAGUCUUCUUGGGCCCAUUUGCCACAGAGAAAUUACUUAACUGUUCUUUCUUCACUUGAGGCUACACAUCAAAAUCUCCAAAUUCAUCAUCCAUUGAGAUCUAUUUUUAAAUGUUUUGGGUCCCUCCUGGGUGCUCAUAAGUACUCUGCAUUUGGCAGUAGAAAAAAGAAUAAAGGAGUUCUGAAGGCCCAAAGGGGUAAGAAAAAGAGGACCUGUCUUUUCUGAUAUCUUAACCAGCAGAAGUUUUACUAUUUAUAUCAGGAGAUAGGCAUAAUGAUGUGGCCAUCCCUGAGGAGCAAUAGGACUUGGUGGUAGGACACUGUCAUCCCUGCCAUAGACACCUGCCUUUCUCCUCUCCUGCUCCCUUUCUCCAUCCCAUCUUCCCAUCUCCAUUUCCUAUCUAUCUUCUUCUUCCGCUCUCCUAAAAUACCGCCCCAAGGCAGGCAGCUUUGCCCACCAGCAUUGCUUAGUCCCUUGAUGUCAAUACCAAGUCCUAAUGCAGUUGCAGACUCUGGGCCUGAAAGCAAGAAAUCUGUGGAGACCUUUUACCUCCCUCCCAGCAAUCCACCGUAUUGUAUAGUCAGUCCAAUCAGAGCCUGAGCACAGGAAUGAGGCUUCUUCAUUCAUCACUCGCUCAUCCAUUCAUUCAACACACACAUAAUAAGCACUUUUUAUAUGUCAGACAUUCUUGCGUAUCCUGGUGAUGCAAAAACAGUCAUUGACCCCAAAGUGAUCACAGGAACAAACUUUUCCAAGUGUUGUCCCUAGAACACCAGUUAUUGAGGACAAUAAUUGUUAUAGGAGAGGAGAGGGGCUACAUUUGUAUGUGGUCAAAUAAAUGGGGGAACUUU
Molecule: long non-coding RNA, 2382 nt
Organism: Phyllostomus discolor (pale spear-nosed bat)
Lineage: Eukaryota; Metazoa; Chordata; Mammalia; Chiroptera; Phyllostomidae
Exons: 2
Source: RefSeq, a predicted model, not a curated record